Molecule: long non-coding RNA, 905 nt
Filed under: Lathyrus oleraceus (garden pea)
Lineage: Eukaryota; Viridiplantae; Streptophyta; Magnoliopsida; Fabales; Fabaceae
Description: Pisum sativum (pea) long non-coding RNA (PSAT_LNC017734)
Source: RNAcentral
UUUCAUAACGACGAUUUCACUUCCCUUAUUAAAAAAUUGAGGUAUAAUAUUAUUAUUCAAUAAGCCUCUUCUUCUUCAAUAAGCCUCUUCUUAAUGUCUUUUGGUAACAUCUAAGAGUUUAUAUCACUAUAUUAACUGGUGUAGCUCUAGUAAACUAAAAGUUAAUUGCAAUUCUGUCUGAGUUUACAAGAAUAUAUAAAUUCAUAAAUGUUUUGGGUCUUGUUCAAAGCUAGUGGUUGAAAAUGAAACAUGGAGGGAAAAUCUUGAUAGGAACCUCAUUUGGAUUACUAUAUCAAAAUUUAGGUUCCAUUUAAAUGAUUGGAAAGUCUUUAGGUUUGGGGAGGUAAUGAAGAUGAUGGGCUUGGAUGGUUGAUAUUGUGUAUGGAAGUUCCCUUCUUGAGUUUUGCUAACAUGGUUUAUUAGUUUUGGACUAAUCUUUAAAGUUCUAUUUUAUAGAUUUUGACUAUGAUUUCUAACCAUUCAUGAUUAUUUGCUGGAUUCGUGUAUAACUAAUAGUGUGAUUAUCAUUACUUGGGUUAUCUUUUGAAUUCUCAUAAUUUUGUAAUUGUCCAAGGAUCAAAUGGUGUUUUAAUUGUGUUUUCUAUAUCUCCUUUAUUUCAAUUUUAAGAUCAUUACAAUUGGAGACCUUAGAAUUUUUAUUGGUUUUGUGGUAGUCCUUUCGAAUCUUUUAAAUAAUAUAUCUUUUAAAUAUGUCUUUUAUUGGCCACAAAAGGAUUUUUUUGUUGGUUUAGCUUCAAGAGUUGAUUUUAAUUUUUCAAAAUAAACCUUCUUAUCCCAAGGUCACUCGCGUUUAUGGCCUAAAAACGAGAUUUUAUUCCUUUUUUAGAAUAUUAAUUUUGCUCGAGGAUUCAUAAUUUUCUUCUGAAAAAUCAUCAUUCUAAAUU